RNAcentral lists this ribosomal RNA (904 nucleotides) under uncultured bacterium. RNAcentral's name for it is "bacterial SSU rRNA". It matches the Rfam family "Bacterial small subunit ribosomal RNA", at positions 8 to 908 of the family's 1533-position model. The record is from RNAcentral.
AGAGUUUGAUCCUGGCUCAGAGUGAACGCUAGCGGCGUGGUUAAGACAUGCAAGUCGAGCGAUGAAGUCCCUUCGGGGAUGGGAUAGCGGCAAACGGGUGCGUAACACGUGAGCAACCUGCCUUGAAGUGGGGGAUAGCCCGGGGAAACCCGGAUUAAUACCGCAUGUGGUCCCUUCUCGCAUGAGAAGUGGACCAAAGCUUGUAAAGGCGCUUCAAGAGGGGCUCGCGGCCUAUCAGCUUGUUGGUGAGGUAAAGGCUCACCAAGGCGAAGACGGGUAGCUGGUCUGAGAGGAUGAUCAGCCACACUGGGACUGAGAUACGGCCCAGACACCUACGGGUGGCAGCAGUUUCGAAUCAUUCACAAUGGGGGAAACCCUGAUGGUGCAACGCCGCGUGGAGGAUGAAGGCCUUCGGGUUGUAAACUCCUGUCACCAGGGAACAAACAGUCGGUUCGUAGCCGGCUCUGAGUUAACCUGGAGAGGAAGAGGUGGCUAACUCCGUGCCAGCAGCCGCGGUAAUACGGAGACCUCAAGCGUUACUCGGAUUCACUGGGCGUAAAGAGUAUGUAGGCUGUCUGGUAUGUCAGGUGUGAAAGCCCGGGGCUCAACCUCGGAAUUGCGCCUGAAACUACCGGACUCGAGGCCUGGAGAGGGGAGUGGAAUUCCUGGUGUAGCGGUGAAAUGCGUAGAUAUCAGGAGGAACACCAAUGGCGAAGGCAGCUCCCUGGACAGGUUCUGACGCUGAGAUACGAAAGCGUGGGUAGCGAAAGGGAUUAGAUACCCCUGUAGUCCACGCCGUAAACGUUGUACACUAGGUUUCGGAGGGCCUACCCCUUCGGAGCUCCAGCUAACGCGUUAAGUGUACCGCCUGAGGACUACGGCCGCAAGGCUAAAACUCAAAGGA